ACAAUUAUACAGCAAAGUCUCCUGGGAGGGUUUAUAUGUUAAGCUCUGUCAGUAAUUUCUCCCCUAGCAAGAAUGAGGGAGAUGAAGAGCUUGGGUAUCAGGGCAGGUGUGUCUGCAUGCAUGUGUGUUUUGGGGGCAGACUGAAGGAAGAGAAGGCUGGAGAGAGGGAACAUGGGUCUGAGGGCACAUCGCUAAGGGGUCAAGAGGCCUAAAGGAGGAGUCUAAGGCUCUCCAUCGAACUUGGACUUGGUCUACAUUAGACUUUAACCUCCAUGAGGCUUGGACUUUCAGGCUUCCGCCCUCACACUGCGGGCAGGUGAGGCGUCUGCUACAGGCCUGGUCUCGCAGAGGUGGCCCAGCGCCCCCCGCCGCCGCCUUCUCCUGGAGUCUGUGUGACAGAAUGGGACCUGUGGGAAAGCAGCACGUCAGCACCCAGUCCCGCUUGCGCGCCAGCAGCUAAUUAAAGCCAGGAAGGUGAUGGCGAUUUUCAACUCAUUCCCGUUAUAAACAGCCGACCUUCCUACCGAGUUCAAGUACCUUCUGCCUGGCCUGGAAGAACAAUAUCUCUCUGUCUCCCUCUUCCACUGGCCCUCACCUGCCUUCCCUGAACAUGCAUUUUGCCUGACAGGAGGCAGAGGUGGUUGAGAUGCAUUCUUGCUAUACGGCCCAGCUGGUAAUGCCUAGAUGCCUGAGUCCCUCCCUGGCUCAUCCCUGGGAGCAGCACCAAACCCCAUGUCUGACACCUGUCCGGAAAUGGAGCCUGCACAUUGACCCUAGCCAUGUGUGAUCUUGUUACUAAAUGUUAGCCAGUGAGAUAACAUACAAGAGGAGGCCCAUGUUGAUUCAGAGGAUGAAUGAGAGGUGCUUGCAGCUUGGUCCAGGAGGCCAGCAGGACCAGACAGAAGACCACAGCGACACAUGGGGAUGGCUGUCCCACAGGCAGAAAUGAGCAGCCGGGAGGAAGCCUGGGCAGCCAGCCACCCAGCUCCCUCCACAUCGUGGCCCUAGAACGGAGUCUUGAAGAAUAAGAAGCCACAGCUUGUCAGGGAAUCAGGCUGGAAAAAUGUUAUGAGACUGAGUAAGACCAGAG
This 1090-nucleotide long non-coding RNA is filed under the name Pongo abelii (Sumatran orangutan). RNAcentral's name for it is "lincRNA". Lineage: Eukaryota; Metazoa; Chordata; Mammalia; Primates; Hominidae. The record is from RNAcentral.